RNAcentral lists this ribosomal RNA (359 nucleotides) under uncultured Sphingobacteriales bacterium. RNAcentral's name for it is "bacterial SSU rRNA". It matches the Rfam family "Bacterial small subunit ribosomal RNA", at positions 1025 to 1382 of the family's 1533-position model. The record is from RNAcentral. Lineage: Bacteria; Pseudomonadati; Bacteroidota; Sphingobacteriia; Sphingobacteriales.
ACAAUAUACGAAGGUGCUGCAUGGUUGUCGUCAGCUCGUGCCGUGAGGUGGUCGGGUUAACGUCCAUAACGAGCGCAACCCCUAUCAUUAGUUGCCAUCAGGUCAAGCUGGGGACUCUAAUGAAACUGCCUACGCAAGUAGUGAGGAAGGUGGGGAUGACGUCAAAUCAGCACGGCCCUUACGUCCAGGGCUACACACGUGCUACAAUGGCCGGUACAAAGGGCAGCUACCUGGUGACAGGAUGCUAAUCUCAAAAGCCGGUCUCAGUUCGGAUCGGAGUCUGCAACCCGACUCCGUGAAGUUGGAUUCGCUAGUAAUCGCGCAUCAGCCAUGGCGCGGUGAAUACGUUCCCGGGCCUU